GACGAACGCUGGCGGCGUGCUUAACACAUGCAAGUCGAACGGAAAGGCCCUGCUUUUGUGGGGUGCUCGAGUGGCGAACGGGUGAGUAACACGUGAGUAACCUGCCCUUGACUUUGGGAUAACUUCAGGAAACUGGGGCUAAUAUCGGAUAGGAGCUCCUGCUGCGUGGUGGGGGUUGGAAAGUUUGGCGGUUGGGGAUUGAAUUGGGGGUUUUCGGGUUGUUUGGGGGGGAGGGGAUUUCCAAGGCUUUGGCGGGAAGCCGGCCUGGGAGGGUGGCCGGCCACAUUGGGCCUGAGGUACGGCCCAGACUCCUACGGGAGGCAGCAGUGGGGAAUAUUGCACAAUGGGCGGAAGCGUGAUGCAGCAGCGCCGCGUGCGGGAUGACGGCCUUCGGGUUGUAAACCGCUUUCGCCUGUGACGAAGCGUGAGUGACGGUAAUGGGUAAAGAAGCACCGGCUAACUACGUG
This 467-nucleotide ribosomal RNA is filed under the name uncultured bacterium. Its description in RNAcentral is "partial 16S ribosomal RNA". It matches the Rfam family "Bacterial small subunit ribosomal RNA", at positions 28 to 507 of the family's 1533-position model. The record is from RNAcentral.